CAAGCAUUGGUGAGAGGCCAUAAUGUGCGCAAGCAAGCACAGAUGACAAUGAGGUGUAUGCAAGCACUAGUACGUGUGCAGGCAAGAGUUAGAGCUCGUAGACUUCAAUUGGCUCAUGAGAAGCUUGAAAGGAAAGUUGAGGAAGAAGAACAAGAAGAAGGAAGGAGAUCAGUGGAUGAAGGAAUAAAUUAUCCGAAGAGCCCAUUAAAGAGUUAUGGAAUGGAAGCUUGGGAUAACAGACAUCAAAGUUCAGAGAGAAUUAACAGGAAACAUGAUGCUGCCAUGAAGAGGGAGAGAGCCCUUGCUUAUGCUUAUGCAUAUCAGCAACAACAGCGGCAGCAUCAACAACUCUUGCAAUCCGACCCAAAUGGUAAAGAGAUAGGAUUCUAUGCAAAUGGAAGGGAAAAGGUGCAAUGGGGUUGGAAUUGGCUUGAGCGAUGGAUGCAAUCACAACCAUACCAUGCUCGUCAUCUGGAGCCAAAUGAAGCUUCUUAUAUGACACUAAACACAACUACAACCACCACAGAUGACAUGUCUGAGAAAACAGUGGAGAUGGACAUGGUCACUCCACCAGCCACGAGUAACAUCAACAAUAGCCGACUGGACAUUUCUCCGUACCCAUCUAAGCAGCAAAGACAAUCAAGCUUAAACACCCAUGUCCCUAGCUACAUGGCUCCAACCCAGUCUGCCAAGGCCAAGUUGCGUAGUCAGAGCACAAUCAAGGAGCGUAAGCCAUGUGUGCCCCAUUGGAACUCAUCCACAAAGAAUGUUGGUUUAGGUUGUGAUUCCUCAAGUUCAGGCGGAGGAACAGCUGUUUACCAGACUCCAAGGAGCCCAAGCCCCAAUAAUAAUGGGAUGCGCCUCCAGUCUAGACAGAUUGCUGGGUAUAGCCCACAUUCCGAUGGUGCUGGAC
This 913-nucleotide unclassified non-coding RNA is filed under the name Hevea brasiliensis (rubber tree). Lineage: Eukaryota; Viridiplantae; Streptophyta; Magnoliopsida; Malpighiales; Euphorbiaceae. The record is from RNAcentral.